This 553-nucleotide ribosomal RNA is filed under the name uncultured freshwater bacterium. RNAcentral's name for it is "bacterial SSU rRNA". It matches the Rfam family "Bacterial small subunit ribosomal RNA", at positions 8 to 607 of the family's 1533-position model. The record is from RNAcentral.
AGAGUUUGAUCCUGGCUCAGAGCGAACGCUGGCGGCAGGCUUAACACAUGCAAGUCGAACGCCAUCUUCGGAUGGAGUGGCAGACGGGUGAGUAACGCGUGGGAACGUACCCUUUGGUUCGGACAAUUCUCGGGAAACUGGGAGCAAUACCGGAUAAGCCCUACGGGGGAAAGAUUUAUCGCCAAAGGAGCGGCCCGCGUCAGAUUACGGAGUUGGUGGGGUAAAGGCCUACCAAGCCUACGAUCUGUAGCUGGUCUGAGAGGAUGAUCAGCCACACUGGGACUGAGACACGGGCCAGACUCCUACGGGAGGCAGCAGUGGGGAAUCUUGGACAAUGGGCGCAAGCCUGAUCCAGACAUGCCGCGUGGAUGAUGAAGGCCUUAGGGUUGUAAAAUCCUUUCAACGGGGACGAUAAUGACGGUACCCGUAGAAGAAGCCCCGGCUAACUUCGUGCCAGCAGCCGCGGUAAUACGAAGGGGGCUAGCGAUGCUCAGAAUUACUGGUCAUAAAGCGCACGUAGGCGGAUAUUUAAGUCGGAGGUGAAAGCCCAAGG